This 336-nucleotide unclassified non-coding RNA is filed under the name soil metagenome. RNAcentral describes it as "partial contains 5.8S ribosomal RNA, internal transcribed spacer 2, and large subunit ribosomal RNA". The stretch from base 1 to 120 matches the Rfam family "5.8S ribosomal RNA", at positions 35 to 154 of the family's 154-position model. The record is from RNAcentral.
GAUGAAGAACGUAGCGAAAUGCGAUAAGUAAUGUGAAUUGCAGAAUUCAGUGAAUCAUCGAAUCUUUGAACGCACAUUGCGCCCGCCAGUAUUCUGGCGGGCAUGCCUGUUCGAGCGUCAUUUCAACCAUCAAGCCCCAGGCUUGUGUUGGGGACCUGCGGCUGCCGCAGGCCCUGAAAACCAGUGGCGGGCUCGCUGUCACACCGGGCGUAGUAGAUUUUAUCUCGCUCAGGGCGUGCUGCGGGUUCCGGCCGUUAAAAAGCCUUUUUUACCCAAGGUUGACCUCGGAUCAGGUAGGAAGACCCGCUGAACUUAAGCAUAUCAUUAAGCGGAGGA